GUGUUCCUACGGGACGCAGCAGUGGGGAAUAUUGCACAAUGGGGGAAACCCUGAUGCAGCGACGCCGCGUGAAGGAAGAAGUAUUUCGGUAUGUAAACUUCUAUCAGCAGGGAAGAAAAUGACGGUACCUGACUAAGAAGCCCCGGCUAACUACGUGCCAGCAGCCGCGGUAAUACGUAGGGGGCGAGCGUUGUCCGGAAUGACUGGGCGUAAAGGGUGCGUAGGCGGCAUAAUAAGUUAGAAGUGAAAUACCCAGAGCUUAACUCGGGUGCUGCUUCUAAGACUGUUGAGCUUGAGUGCGGGAG
Molecule: ribosomal RNA, 305 nt
Filed under: uncultured bacterium
Lineage: Bacteria
Description: bacterial SSU rRNA
Rfam family: Bacterial small subunit ribosomal RNA
Source: RNAcentral